Molecule: ribosomal RNA, 599 nt
Filed under: Pseudooceanicola nanhaiensis
Lineage: Bacteria; Pseudomonadati; Pseudomonadota; Alphaproteobacteria; Rhodobacterales; Paracoccaceae
Description: bacterial SSU rRNA
Rfam family: Bacterial small subunit ribosomal RNA
Source: RNAcentral
GCGGACGGGUGAGUAACGCGUGGGAAUGUGCCCUUCUCUACGGAAUAGUCCCGGGAAACUGGGUUUAAUACCGUAUACGCCCUUCGGGGGAAAGAUUUAUCGGAGAAGGAUCAGCCCGCGUCUGAUUAGGUAGUUGGUGGGGUAAUGGCCUACCAAGCCUACGAUCAGUAGCUGGUUUUAGAGGAUGAUCAGCCACACUGGGACUGAGACACGGCCCAGACUCCUACGGGAGGCAGCAGUGGGGAAUCUUAGACAAUGGGCGCAAGCCUGAUCUAGCCAUGCCGCGUGAGUGAUGAAGGCCUUAGGGUCGUAAAACUCUUUCGCCAGGGAUGAUAAUGACAGUACCUGGUAAAGAAGCCCCGGCUAACUCCGUGCCAGCAGCCGCGGUAAUACGGAGGGGGCUAGCGUUGUUCGGAAUUACUGGGCGUAAAGCGCGCGUAGGCGGACUAUUAAGUCAGGGGUGAAAUCCCGGGGCUCAACCCCGGAACUGCCCUUGAUACUGGUAGUCUUGAGUUCGAGAGAGGUGAGUGGAAUUCCGAGUGUAGAGGUGAAAUUCAUAGAUAUUCGGAGGAACAACAGUGGCGAAGGCGGCUCACUGG